RNAcentral lists this small nuclear RNA (103 nucleotides) under Mus spicilegus (steppe mouse). Lineage: Eukaryota; Metazoa; Chordata; Mammalia; Rodentia; Muridae. The record is from RNAcentral.
AUGCUUCGGCAGCACAUAUAAUAAAAUUGGAAUGAUACAGAGAAGAUUAGCAUGACCCCUGUGCAAGGAUGACACACAAAUUUGUUAAGCAUUCCAUAUUUUU